UGGGCGCGUCUCCACUGCCUGUACCUGAGGCGCAAGCGUCCGCGCAGCGAGAGCUCUGGUCAGGCCGCUUCGGAGGACGAGCAUGGCGCGGCUGCGAGCACUGGGAGGCACAGCUAGUCGGUUCGGAUCUACAGAAGGAAGCAGAAGAGCUGGAUCCAGUGCUGUCCCAACUGAAUAGGAGGCCAGUAGCUCUACAUGUAAACUUCAGAGGCCUGUAUUUUGGUGACAUCCAUGGCUAAGUACCUGAGUGCUGUCUUCCACAGCCACUAGAUGGUGAAUCCAGAGAGACAGACCUGCUCAGCAGGGUGGACAGCAAAGGACUGAAAACUCACACAGCAGCAGUU
This is a long non-coding RNA of Suricata suricatta (meerkat), 344 nucleotides long. RefSeq lists it as uncharacterized. The transcript has 3 exons. The record is from RefSeq and is a predicted model, not a curated record. NCBI's taxonomy places the organism in Eukaryota, Metazoa, Chordata, Mammalia, Carnivora, Herpestidae.